RNAcentral lists this ribosomal RNA (430 nucleotides) under uncultured bacterium. RNAcentral describes it as "partial 16S ribosomal RNA". It matches the Rfam family "Bacterial small subunit ribosomal RNA", at positions 29 to 507 of the family's 1533-position model. The record is from RNAcentral.
AACGAACGCUGGCGGCAGGCUUAACACAUGCAAGUCGAGCGCCCCGCAAGGGGAGCGGCAGACGGGUGAGUAACGCGUGGGAACGUACCUUUUGGUUCGGAACAACCCGGGAAACUGGAGCUAAAUACGGGAAAGGCCCUACCGGGAAAGAUUUAUCCCCGAAAGAUCGGCCCGCCUCUGAUUAGCUAGUUGGUGAGGUAACGGCUCACCAAGGGGACGGUCAGUAGCUGGUCUGAGAGGAUGAUCAGCCACACUGGGACUGAGACACGGGCCAGACUCCUACGGGAGGCAGGAGUGGGGAAUAUUGGACGAUGGGCGCAAGCCUGAUCCAGCCAUGCCGCGUGAGUGAUGAAGGCCUUAGGGUUGUAAAGCUCUUUUGUCCGGGAAGAUAAUGACUGUACCGGAAGAAUAAGCCCCGGCUAACUUCGUG